UACACUCCUACGGGAGGCAGCAGUGGGGAAUUUUGGACAAUGGGCGAAAGCCUGAUCCAGCAAUGCCGCGUGUGUGAAGAAGGCCUUCGGGUUGUAAAGCACUUUUGUCCGGAAAGAAAUCCUUGGCUCUAAUACAGUCGGGGGAUGACGGUACCGGAAGAAUAAGCACCGGCUAACUACGUGCCAGCAGCCGCGGUAAUACGUAGGGUGCGAGCGUUAAUCGGAAUUACUGGGCGUAAAGCGUGCGCAGGCGGUUUGCUAAGACCGAUGUGAAAUCCCCGGGCUCAACCUGGGAACUGCAUUGGUGACUGGCAGGCUAGAGUAUGGCAGAGGGGGGUAGAAUUCCACGUGUAGCAGUGAAAUGCGUAGAGAUGUGGAGGAAUACCGAUGGCGAAGGCAGCCCCCUGGGCCAAUACUGACGCUCAUGCACGAAAGCGUGGGGAGCAAACAGGAUUAGAAACCCGAGUAGUCCCAUGA
Molecule: ribosomal RNA, 477 nt
Filed under: uncultured organism
Description: partial 16S ribosomal RNA
Rfam family: Bacterial small subunit ribosomal RNA
Source: RNAcentral